CAAAUAAGGGAAGUGACCAAACUUGAUGGCAGCAGCUCCCUACUUUGUUCCAACACAGUUUUCAUGAGCAUUUCAUAGAGAUGUUUUGAUAAAAGAAAAAACUUGCUUUCUGUACAUUUACUGUAAACACUAACAUUACAGGUUGGCAAAAUAUCCUUUCACGUGGUGUAUGAAGUAAAGACGAUUUGUUAUGCAAAAACUAUGUAAUGUCACAGUAAGGUUAAAAGCACACUGCAGGUACACUUGGAGUCAAGGCCAAAGGAUAUUGAAGCCAUGGCCUCGGAGCAGCAGGCAGGAGAGGGUAUCAAUGUUGGUGGGGAGAUCAAAGAUGUCCCUCAACAGCUAGCCCAUCCUCCUGCCGUGAGACCAAGCCAACAAGGAGAUCUCCUGCAAGGCUGGUACUCAAAUAUAGAUGAGAUUUUAUUGUUUG
This is a non-coding RNA of Pelobates cultripes (western spadefoot toad), 430 nucleotides long. The record is from the annotation of a GenBank genome assembly. NCBI's taxonomy places the organism in Eukaryota, Metazoa, Chordata, Amphibia, Anura, Pelobatidae.